This 1313-nucleotide long non-coding RNA is filed under the name Anneissia japonica. Its description in RNAcentral is "uncharacterized LOC117113507, transcript variant X3". Lineage: Eukaryota; Metazoa; Echinodermata; Crinoidea; Comatulida; Comatulidae. The record is from RNAcentral.
GCACAUAGUGGUUCCAGGAUUUCCAAGUUUAAGAAUCAUGAUGAUUUCUACUUGUAUGUCAAUAUGAAAGAAAUGGUCUUCGAUAGAGAUUUUGGUAAUACUGGAAACCAAAAGAACAAUUAGAGACCGAAUUACUAUGAAGGAGAUGAGACAAUUUAUGCCACUAAAUCCACCAGCAGCCCUCAGCAAGGCAGAAACCCUUGGGGGUCACACAUAGGCUUAGCCUAGUGAGCCUUGGACACACCCGAUGCUCAGUAUUCAACGUCAAUAAUGCAAGACCAUGACCAUCAUCAGAAGAGCAGCAGUCCUGUAAUAAUCCAAAUGGGCAACAAUUGGCUGACUUGGGGUCAUGGCCUCCACUACAUAACUAAAAAGACUAAUCAAAUAAAGCUUAUUCACACACUGUGUUGGAAGCAAUGUUUACAAGGGCGCCCUCAGUCAUGAAAGUCUGUUACAGAAAGAUUGUCAUUUAGUUCUGUCUCCUGCUUCAUCAAUGUACUGCUUGAAUGAUGCCUGUUCAUCGUACGAGCAAAGUUGUUUACACCAAGCUCCCCAACACAACAUCAAUACUCAACGAGUGACAACAUCUCCAUCCUAUCAAGGCCAAGCCUGUCCACCAUCACCUUUCAAUAUGACAGUAAAUUCUAAAGCAGUGGGGAAGGGUCACCUGACUAUUGACCUUCAACCUGAUGGUGAACGGACUCAAAAUGAGGUUGAAAGAAUGGAUGUGUGGGAUUAGGUCUGUGAAACACAAUUGAAGCCAUGGAAAUGUCUGAGCAGUGUCUCUUACUUCUGGUGAGUCCAUUAAUGAUGUUGAAGAAACAAACAGUGGUUUGGGAGACAAGGCCUGUAGCCAUUGUGUGAUGACAGGAUGUGUGGCCUGUAGAUCUGAAGAUUCUCUCCACAGCCAUGUAAUGCACAGUGACAGACAAAGCCCACCUGGCUAUUGACCUUUAACCUGAUGGUGAACUUACUCAAACUGAGUUGGUGGGAUAGAGUGAAACAGAAUUAUAAGCCAUGGAAACGUGCGGACAGCUGCAUGUACGUUACCUUGAAAUGCUCGGUACUCAACGUCAGUGAUGCAGACUGUGACCAUCAUUGGAAGAGCAGCAGUCCUGUAAUAAUCCAAAUGGGUAACACUUGGCUGGCUGGGGGUCAUGACCCCACUACAUAACUAAAAAGACAAAUCAAAUGAAGCUUAGUCACACACCGGGUUGGAAACAAUGUUUACAAGGGCACCCUCAGCCAUCAAAGUCUGUUACAGAAAGGUAAAUGUCAUUUAGUCUUUAUAAAUUGCACAGAUGGAAAUUUUA